CUAUUGUUGUAUUUCUCAUAGCCAGACUGCCUUGUACAGCAAGGAGGAAGGUGGGGAUGACGUCAAGUCAGCAUGGCCUUUAUGCCCUGGGCUACACACACGCUACAAUGGGUGGGUACAGAGGGUUGCCACGGAGCAAUCCGGAGCGAAUCCCUUAAAACCAUCCUCAGUUCGGAUUGCAGGCUGCAAUCGCCUGCAUGAAGCCGGAGCUGCUAGUAACCGCAGGUCAGCUAUACUGCGGUGAACUACGUUCUCGGGCCUU
RNAcentral lists this ribosomal RNA (262 nucleotides) under uncultured Chloroflexota bacterium. RNAcentral's name for it is "uncultured Chloroflexi bacterium partial 16S ribosomal RNA". It matches the Rfam family "Bacterial small subunit ribosomal RNA", at positions 1111 to 1382 of the family's 1533-position model. The record is from RNAcentral. Lineage: Bacteria; Bacillati; Chloroflexota.